GAUGAACGCUGGCGGCAUGCUUUACACAUGCAAGUCGAACGGUAACAGGCCGCAAGGUGCUGACGAGUGGCGAACGGGUGAGUAAUGCAUCGGAACGUGCCCAGUCGUGGGGGAUAACGCGGCGAAAGCUGCGCUAAUACCGCAUACGAUCUAUGGAUGAAAGCGGGGGACCGGAAGGCCUCGUGCGAUUGGAGCGGCCGAUGUCAGGUUAGGUAGUUGGGGGGGUAAAGGCUGACCAAGCCAACGAUCUGUAGCUGGUCUGAGAGGACGACCAGCCACACUGGGAGUGAGAGACGGCCCAGACUCCUACGGGAGGCAGCAGUGGGGAAUUUUGGACAAUGGGCGCAAGCCUGAUCCAGCAAUGCCGCGUGCAGGAAGAAGGCCUUCGGGUUGUAAACUGCUUUUGUACGGAACGAAAAGGCUCUGGUUAAUACCUGGGGCUCAUGACGGUACCGUAAGAAUAAGCACCGGCUAACUACGUGCCAGCCGCCGCGGUAA
RNAcentral lists this ribosomal RNA (498 nucleotides) under uncultured bacterium. RNAcentral describes it as "partial 16S ribosomal RNA". It matches the Rfam family "Bacterial small subunit ribosomal RNA", at positions 28 to 523 of the family's 1533-position model. The record is from RNAcentral.